RNAcentral lists this ribosomal RNA (253 nucleotides) under uncultured bacterium. Its description in RNAcentral is "partial 16S ribosomal RNA". It matches the Rfam family "Bacterial small subunit ribosomal RNA", at positions 524 to 776 of the family's 1533-position model. The record is from RNAcentral.
UACGUAGGGGGCAAGCGUUAUCCGGAUUUACUGGGUGUAAAGGGGGCGCAGACGGCGAUGCAAGCCAGGAGUGAAAGCCCGGGGCCCAACCCCGGGACUGCUCUUGGAACUGCGUGGCUGGAGUGCAGGAGGGGCAGGCGGAAUUCCUGGUGUAGCGGUGAAAUGCGUAGAUAUCAGGAGGAACACCAGUGGCGAAGGCGGAUUGCUGGACAGUAACUGACGCUGAGGCGCGAAAGCGUGGGGAGCAAACAGG